Molecule: ribosomal RNA, 577 nt
Filed under: uncultured bacterium
Lineage: Bacteria
Description: bacterial SSU rRNA
Rfam family: Bacterial small subunit ribosomal RNA
Source: RNAcentral
CCUACGGGAGGCAGCAGUAGGGAAUAUUGGGCAAUGGGCGAGAGCCUGACCCAGCCAUGCCGCGUGCCGGAUGAAGGCCUUCUGGGUUGUAAACGGCUUUUCUCAGGGAAGAAAAAGCCCAUGCGUGGGACACUGACGGUACCUGAGGAAUAAGCACCGGCUAACUCCGUGCCAGCAGCCGCGGUAAUACGGAGGGUGCAAGCGUUGUCCGGAUUUAUUGGGUUUAAAGGGUGCGUAGGCGGCCCGUUAAGUCCGGGGUGAAAGCCCACAGCUCAACUGUGGAACUGCCCUGGAUACUGGCGGGCUUGAGUCCAGACGAGGUUGGCGGAAUGGAUGGUGUAGCGGUGAAAUGCAUAGAUACCAUCCAGAACCCCGAUUGCGUAGGCAGCUGACUAGGCUGGUACUGACGCUGAGGCACGAAAGCGUGGGGAGCGAACAGGAUUAGAUACCCUGGUAGUCCACGCCGUAAACGAUGGAUACUCGCUGGUGGCGAUAGACAGUCACUGGCUUAGCGAAAGCGGUAAGUAUCCCACCUGGGGAGUACGCUCGCAAGAGUGAAACUUAAAGGAAUUGACGG